This 611-nucleotide small RNA is filed under the name Pongo abelii (Sumatran orangutan). Its description in RNAcentral is "processed transcript". Lineage: Eukaryota; Metazoa; Chordata; Mammalia; Primates; Hominidae. The record is from RNAcentral.
AGCCUGGGGAAGGAGGGAAGAGUAACCCUUCAUCUUUGGGACUAGUCGUCUUGUUUGCCUAGACUACAGUUUUCAAGUAUUUAAGGACCAUUUAUUUCAAAAGGAAUUACAGUUUGAAAGGCUGACCCGAGAGCUGGAGGCUGAACGGCAGAUCGUAGCCAGCCAGCUGGAGCGAUGCAAGCUCGGAUCCGAGACCGGCAGCAUGAGCAGCAUGAGCUGGGUCCCGAGCCUCAUACAGCAGCCAGCAUGGGCACCUGGGCCCAGAGCUGCGGGCCCUGCAGUCCCCAGAACACCACAUAGAUCCCAUCUACGAAGACCGCGUCUAUCAGAAGCCCCCUAUGAGGAGUCUCAGCCAGAGCCAGGGGGACCCUCUGCCGCCAGCACACACUGGCACCUACCGCACGAGCACAGCCCCAUCUUCCCCUGGUGUCGACUCCGUCCCCUUGCAGCGCACAGGCAGCCAGCACGGCCCACAGAAUGCCGCCGCGGCCACCUUCCAGAGGGCCAGCUAUGCCGCCGGCCCAGCCUCCAAUUACGCGGACCCCUACCGACAGCUGCAGUAUUGUCCCUCUGUUGAGUCUCCAUACAGCAAAUCCGGCCCUGCUCUCCCG